This 112-nucleotide ribosomal RNA is filed under the name Caerostris darwini. Lineage: Eukaryota; Metazoa; Arthropoda; Arachnida; Araneae; Araneidae. The record is from RNAcentral.
AACGGCCGUACCAUGCUGAAUAUACCGGUUCUCGUUAGAUCACCGAAGUCAAGCAUCAUUGGGCGCGGUCAGUACUUGGAUGGGUGACCACCUGGGAACACCGCGUGCCGUU